RNAcentral lists this small RNA (980 nucleotides) under Pan troglodytes (chimpanzee). Its description in RNAcentral is "processed transcript". Lineage: Eukaryota; Metazoa; Chordata; Mammalia; Primates; Hominidae. The record is from RNAcentral.
GGGUUGGUUUGGGUUGUGGCUUCUGUGACUCCUGACCCUGCGUGGGGCAGAGGUUAGAUUGCUGUGUCCAGAAUCACCUGGUUGAACCCGAUUGUCUGCAGACAGGACAGUGUCAUGGGCUCCAAAGGAGUCGGAACACACAGAUGGGCACACCUCUGUCCAGAGUGUUAUUGAGAAGUUGCAGGAAGAAAAUCGACUGUUAAAACAGAAGGUGACUCACGUUGAAGACCUCAAUGCCAAGUGGCAGCGCUACGAUGCCAGCAGGGACGAAUACGUGAGGGGGCUCCAUGCGCAGCUCAGGGGGCUGCAGAUCCCCCACGAGCCCGAGCUGAUGAGGAAGGAGAUCUCCCGGCUCAACAGACAGUUGGAAGAGAAAAUAAAUGACUGUGCCGAAGUGAAGCAGGAGCUGGCGGCCUCCAGGACGGCCCGGGAUGCUGCGCUGGAGCGGGUGCAGAUGCUGGAACAGCAGAUUCUCGCUUACAAGGAUGACUUCAUGUCAGAAAGGGCCGAUCGGGAACGGGCUCAAAGUAGGAUUCAAGAACUGGAGGAAAAGGUCGCUUCUUUGCUGCACCAGGUGUCCUGGAGACAGGAUUCUCGAGAGCCAGACGCCGGCCGGAUUCACGCUGGGAGCAAAACUGCCAAGUAUUUGGCCACCGACGCAUUAGAGCUUAUGGUGCCUGGUGGCUGGAGGCCUGGGACUGGGUCCCAGCAGCCGGAACCCCCUGCAGAGGGCGGGCAUCCUGGCGCGGCCCAGAGAGGCCAGGGGGACCUUCAGUGCCCUCACUGCCUGCAGUGCUUCAGUGACGAGCAAGGGGAAGAGCUCCUCAGGCAUGUGGCUGAGUGCUGCCAGUGACCGAGACUGACCCGUGCCCUUGCGGCCUCCUGGCCCGGCGCAGCUGCCCUCAGGGACAGGGUGGGUGCUCUCAGAUGCCAUGGGUUGAGCUCUACUGAGAGCCAAGGCUCCUAGAAUAGGUGAGGGG